RNAcentral lists this long non-coding RNA (3863 nucleotides) under Nicotiana tabacum (common tobacco). RNAcentral's name for it is "long non-coding RNA (NTAB_LNC006915)". The record is from RNAcentral. Lineage: Eukaryota; Viridiplantae; Streptophyta; Magnoliopsida; Solanales; Solanaceae.
GCCACUCUACUUUGAACCGUCGGUGUUCUCAUUAAACUCAGGCGGAUGCAACUUGCAAGAGUUGACAAUUAUAUUAGUUAUCACUUAGUUAAUAGCAAGUGCCUAUUGCCAAGUUUCUUCUUUCUUUUAGGAAUUAAAGCAUACCAAGCUGUAAAUGCGGGAAUAAUCCGACAGCAAUGGAAAGAACACUCAACUACAGGUGAUAUUUUUUUUCUAAGUUGGCUUAUGAAAACUAUCUUUAAAAAGGAGAAGAAAAUUUUCUCAUUUGUUGGUGUAUGCCAGGUUAUUCUAUAAACAUUUCAAGUUUUACUUCAUAUUACUUGCCCCAACAAAUAUUUAUAUAUCAAUAUCAAUCUUUUGCUAAAUGUUUUUUCACUCACAAGCCAAACACUCAAGAAAACAUCCAAGAAAAUAAAUAGGAUUACUUGAAGGCAGUUCGUGUGUAUUAUCCCAAAAUAUACUCGGUGAGUCGAUUAGAGAAAGGAUUUGAAGCUUAUAAGUUUCAUAUUCUUGCUCUUUUAACUUAUUAGGUUCUAAAUUGAUAAUUCGUACGUAUAUUAAAUAAAUUUCUUAAGACAAAUAUAAAAUUAGAUCAAUGUUACUCGAUUCGGCCGAACCUGUAACUUUAAAGCUAGCUCCGCCCCCGUGAAUGGUUAAGUAUUUGUCUAGAUAUUGCAAUCAGAAGCACGUCCACAGAUUUAAAUUAGAUGGUUUACUUUUUAAGGUUCUUAGCAUUAGAUAGUGUAUUUUAAAUUAUGGGUUCAAUAUGUAAUAUUUGUUAAAAUUUAGUAAUAUUUCCCAAUAUUGGAUUCAAUUGAAUCCAAUAUAAUUAUUAUAAACUUCAUCUCUAAUCGCAAUUAACACGUUUGUCUAUGCACAUUUGAUUUAAUUUGCGGAAUUAUAUUAGUUUUAAACAUGUAAAUAACUUCUACUUGUGUAGUUAUAAUUUUAUAUAUUCUUUCAAGUAUAAAAACUGUGAAUACCUAAUUUUUGUACUGUUUUAACACCUCCUAAAGUCAUUAGUGUUUUGUUACUUUAAUUAUUUUUUCCAAUUUUUGUGUCUUUGAUUGCAUAUUUCCUAUCAUAAAAAUAUCAAAAAAUAGUUCUUUCUUUAUUUGUGCAUUUUAGGAAUUGACUAACUAUUCAAUUGAUAAAUUAAUCUAGUUAAUUGAUCAUUUGAAUAAGUUACUUAAUUAAUUUAUUUGUUUGUAUAAAUUUAGUUUAAUAAGUAGGAUUAAGAAAGAAAUUGGGCCAAAUUUGAAAGAGAAAGUGGCCAAAAGUGCAAGAUAAGGGGCUGCCCUUGAAAGGGUCUGAAACGACGUAGUUUUGCCUCAAAACUACGUUGUUUCAUUAAGUGACCCAAGAUCAAAUCUCACCCAUUGAUCACCCCUUGAUCUAAUGGUCCAUAUUUAAUCUCUCAAGAGGUAUUUAAAGCCUCAAAAAACUGAAAAAUUCCCUCAUUUCCCCCCAUAACUCUUUCUCUCUUCUCUCUCUUUCUUCUCUCCGCCGCCGCCGCCGGAAAUCACCCAUCGGUGGCGGACCACCUCCAGACACCUCCAAAUUAACACCAUGUAUUCUCCACAACCUCCUCUUCCCAUAUCUCCAAACCAAUUCCUUCAAAACCCCCUCAAACUCCUUGAAUUUUAGAUCUAGGAAACUUUAGCCACCACUUUUUGGCUCAAAUUCAUGAAGCUCCGGCCAACAUCACCCUACAACACAUGCAUGAAUGGAUAGAGCUCCACGAGACCUAUCUUUUCCUACCCAUUUCACCCUCUAAAACCCCGUCGCCGCCGGCCCGCUGCCCAUUACCCGCCGCGGCUCCACUGCCUCACCACCGCCAAAAUGCCCCAAAACCCCAUCUUAGCUAUUUUUCGACUCAAAGACACUCAUUUUUUUUUGGCGAGAUGCUGAAACUCAUUUCGUUCUAGCAUCUACCCGAAAGAAACGUGCAUUUCGGAGUCAGGCAGUCGCCUUUUAGCAUCUCCGGCGUCUUCUCGUGGCUCGAACAGCUUCAAGCAUACUCGUUAGGUAUAAUCGUCAUCUCUUUAAUUAAUUUCUGAUUUUUUAUAUUAAUAGAUUAGUUUCUGAUUUUUGAUUUUUCUGUUUUGGUUGUUUCUUGUUAAUUAGAGUUUCAAGUUAGAUUUAUUUAAUUAGUUAUCUCUAUUUAGUUUAGUGAUUUGUUAGAUUGUUAUUGAUCUAAACAUGAUCUUUAGUGUAUUAGCUAAAUCAUUCACUUAGUUUGUCGAUUAUUUAGUUGUCUGAUUGUUAACGAUGCUCGUUCUGGUUUGAGCAUUUAGUUUGUGAAUUUAGUUAUUUGUUUAGUAAUUAGUUUGUAAAAAUCGAAUUCAUUCCAAUCAAGUUGGUUUGAAUACUUAGUUCAAUUAUGUUUUUAGUCUCGUUUAUGCUUUGUCAGUUCAUAGUUGUUCAUUUUUUAUUUUGUGUUGAGCAAGUAGUUUGUUCUUGAUGGUUAAAAUCUGAAGUUUAUGCUAUUUUAUCAUAAAAUAGGGUAAUAGUAGCCUACUUUUACUAGUAGGGUGGCUGAAAUGACAUUUGUUUUCUCCUUGCUUCUGACACGACAGAUUUUCAGGCUGUCCUUUCAAUUUUGGGGACAGAUCUUGAACAGUGUUUAGCACACAAAGUCAGUUUUUGGACAGAUUUUUGGUGAACUAAAAUCUGGCCCAAAAAGGGGACUUAAUUUACCUAUUUAAGGGGCUGCUAUUUCUUCACUUCAAAGACUCUAUCUUACACUUGCAGAGAUCUUGAGAGUUGCUUGAACACACAUAUGGUUGAACAAAAAAUCACCAGAUGAAUAUUUUAGUAAGCUAAAAAAUUUUGUUUUGUGAGUGAAUCUUAGAGUGCAAACUUUUAGAAAAGUAGAAGUCUUCUUUAGAGUUAGUUCUAGGUUUCUUCUCUAAAGUUUUCGGGCUGUUUAAACACGAUUUGCUGCUGGAUUUCUGUUGAUUUUGUUGUUGUUCUCUGUUGUUUUCUAUUGCUGAGCUUCAAUUCAUCCCCUGUUGUAUUUAUUUUCAGCUCUUCAGGUAACCUUCUAAAUAUUUGUAAUGCAGGCUCUUUUUCUUUAAUAACAGAUGAUGAAAAGUUGAACAUAUUUAGAUUAUAUGUGCAUCUUCAAUAUGGACGGAUGUCAAAGUGUAACCUUGAAAUCAAAUCUCGUGGUUUAAGUAUUAAAUCUAUGACUUUGUUUAAUUCUUUUUUUUUUUAUUUAGCUUAAUAGCUUUCCCAAUGUUAGUUUUCAAGUAGUGUUUCUUGAGUAAUGGUAGUAUUUCACUUAAAAAUAUAAAAGUUAUAUAAAGACCUUGUAGUAGGCUAAUAAACAAAGAAUUUUGUUUGGUUUAAGUUUUUGCCGUUCUUUUCACCGUAAAGUUUUAGAAGAUUGCAUAAAGGUCUAUUUCUUAUUACUUUACUGUUUUAGUCGUAAGGUUUCUGUUGUGGUUAGUUUUUCGUUAUCUGAAUGCUUGUUGUUCCUAAUUUUCAUAUUUCUUUACUUAAUCACUUUUUAAAUGUUGUUCUUGAUUUUACUAUUUUUUUCUAAUUUCUUUUAGUUUCGUUUAAAGAAAAACAAAAAUUAUCUCAUAAGUUAUGUGACAACAAUGUAUGAUGCAUAAUGGGCUUUUGGUUAGUUGUUAAGCUAUUGAGCCACAGUGUUAAUUAAAAUUAAUAUGAUUGGGCAAAUGGGUUAACCUGCUAGUCUAUUCUUGUUUUCAAAACUGGCCCAUUUUUCCUUAACAACAAAGCUGCCCAUUUUCUUUAUAUAGCUAAUUGGGCCAAAUAGAUUCAUUUUAGAUGGCCCAUUUUGUAUACAAAAAUUGCAGCAGUCCAAUACCAAUAAAAUUCAAGAGUUUGCC